Molecule: ribosomal RNA, 830 nt
Filed under: uncultured bacterium
Lineage: Bacteria
Description: bacterial SSU rRNA
Rfam family: Bacterial small subunit ribosomal RNA
Source: RNAcentral
AGUCGAGGGGCAGCAUUUUAGUUUGCUUGCAACUGAAGAUGGCGACCGGCGCACGGGUGAGUAACACGUAUCCAACCUGCCGAUAACUCCGGAAUAGCCUUUCGAAAGAAAGAUUAAUACCGGAUGGCAUACGAAUAUCGCAUGAUAUUUUUAUUAAAGAAUUUCGGUUAUCGAUGGGGAUGCGUUCCAUUAGUUUGUUGGCGGGGUAACGGCCCACCAAGACUACGAUGGAUAGGGGUUCUGAGAGGAAGGUCCCCCACAUUGGAACUGAGACACGGUCCAAACUCCUACGGGAGGCAGCAGUGAGGAAUAUUGGUCAAUGGGCGCGAGCCUGAACCAGCCAAGUAGCGUGAAGGAUGAAGGCUCUAUGGGUCGUAAACUUCUUUUAUAUGGGAAUAAAGUUUUCCACGUGUGGAAUUUUGUAUGUACCAUAUGAAUAAGGAUCGGCUAACUCCGUGCCAGCAGCCGCGGUAAUACGGAGGAUCCGAGCGUUAUCCGGAUUUAUUGGGUUUAAAGGGAGCGUAGGUGGAUUGUUAAGUCAGUUGUGAAAGUUUGCGGCUCAACCGUAAAAUUGCAGUUGAAACUGGCAGUCUUGAGUACAGUAGAGGUGGGCAGAAUUCGUGGUGUAGCGGUGAAAUGCUUAGAUAUCACGAAGAACUCCGAUUGCGAAGGCAGCUCACUAGACUGUUACUGACACUGAUGCUCGAAAGUGUGGGUAUCAAACAGGAUUAGAUACCCUGGUAGUCCACACAGUAAACGAUGAAUACUCGCUGUUUGCGAUAUACAGUAAGCGGCCAAGCGAAAGCAUUAAGUAUUCCACCUGGGGAGUA